UUUCAGAUUUUGGAUUGCCUUCUCAAACUCUAACCAUGAAGCCAAAAAUUCACUCUAACAUAGAAAGAUGUUUGAGAAGGAGAAAGACAAAAAUUAGUUCAUCAAAGCAAUAUCCAGGAGAGGGGUGAACAGAUGGAAGAAAUCAAAAACCUAAGACUUCAGGGAUAUAUGCAUGGACUGAUUUGAGUACUAGAGAAAAGUUCACCACCGGCAGCAGAUAAGCGAUGAAAAAUGGCCGGGUCCACUUGCUUACUAAUGGUGCACAACGACUGUAGGAUGCGCAGUACGAAAGCAGGAGCAGAGAGGUUCACAUGACAAGACUGUUAUGAGUACGGGUUAUCAAGGAAACCACAAUCAUCCUUACCGCCGUAAGACACAGCAAUGGCUCACACAACCUCUGCAGCUGCUACUAGGCUCCUCUCAGGUUUAGCCAUGAGAAACAAUAGAGAGCUAAGUCUCCAAGCAAAUAGUCUCUUCUCUUCUCUUCACCAUCAACAUCUCCUUUGUUCUCUUACACUGCUGACAUUGCUACUCUAUCAACCCCUGCACCAUCGGUCAAACUGCACACCAGAUGCAUUGUAACGUUAAAACUUAAAUCUUUUCGUGGCUUAAGGUCAAUCAUCGUACAAUUGGAGUACCCUUCAGCGACUGGAUAUUCACAUUUCGAAUGGCAACUACCUUAGGUCUUUGGAUCUUGAUUUUAUCUCUGGCCUGUAUAAAUGGAAUUGGUUUUGUACUUGAUGUUCUUUUGGUUUUUUUGAUGAUUAGAACUUGUCUGUAUACUGUGUUGUUCACAUUGUACAGUUUUUCAUUGUACUAGAAAUGUAAACUUCAACAACCACUAUUGUAAGACAUGCCAUCUGUAUAAAAUGUUCAUUCAUUGAUGAAAGUUUACAUACAAAUUA
Long non-coding RNA from Papaver somniferum (opium poppy), 905 nucleotides. RefSeq lists it as uncharacterized. Lineage: Eukaryota; Viridiplantae; Streptophyta; Magnoliopsida; Ranunculales; Papaveraceae. The record is from RefSeq and is a predicted model, not a curated record. The transcript has 3 exons.